ACUCCUACGGGAGGCAGCAGUGGGGAAUAUUGCACAAUGGGCGAAAGCCUGAUGCAGCAACGCCGCGUGAGGGACGAAGGCCUUCGGGUUGUAAACCUCUUUUAGUAGGGAAGAAGGGAGCUUGCUCUUGACGGUACCUGCAGAAAAAGCACCGGCUAACUACGUGCCAGCAGCCGCGGUAAUACGUAGGGUGCAAGCGUUAUCCGGAAUUAUUGGGCGUAAAGAGCUCGUAGGCGGUUUGUCGCGCCUGCUGUGAAAACUGGAGGCUCAACCUCCAGCCUGCAGUGGGUACGGGCAGACUAGAGUGCGGUAGGGGAGAUUGGAAUUCCUGGUGUAGCGGUGGAAUGCGCAGAUAUCAGGAGGAACACCAAUGGCGAAGGCAGAUCUCUGGGCCGUAACUGACGCUGAGGAGCGAAAGCAUGGGGAGCGAACAGGAUUAGAUACCCUGGUAGUCCAUGCCGUAAACGUUGGGAACUAGAUGUAGGGUCCAUUCCACGGAUUCUGUGUCGCAGCUAACGCAUUAAGUUCCCCGCCUGGGGAGUACGGCCGCAAGGCUAAAACUCAAAGGAAUUGACGGGGGCCCGCACAAGCGGCGGAGCAUGCGGAUUAAUUCGAUGCAACGCGAAGAACCUUACCAAGGCUUGACAUAUACCGGAAACGGCUGGAAACAGUCGCCCCGCA
RNAcentral lists this ribosomal RNA (681 nucleotides) under uncultured bacterium. Its description in RNAcentral is "bacterial SSU rRNA". It matches the Rfam family "Bacterial small subunit ribosomal RNA", at positions 335 to 1019 of the family's 1533-position model. The record is from RNAcentral.